Molecule: ribosomal RNA, 253 nt
Filed under: uncultured bacterium
Lineage: Bacteria
Description: partial 16S ribosomal RNA
Rfam family: Bacterial small subunit ribosomal RNA
Source: RNAcentral
UACGUAGGGUGCGAGCGUUAAUCGGAAUUACUGGGCGUAAAGCGUGCGCAGGCGGUUUUGUAAGCCAGAUGUGAAAUCCCCGGGCUUAACCUGGGAAUUGCAUUUGUGACUGCACGGCUAGAGUGUGUCAGAGGGGGGUAGAGUUCCACGUGUAGCAGUGAAAUGCGUAGAUAUGUGGAGGAAUACCGAUGGCGAAGGCAGCCCCCUGGGAUAACACUGACGCUCAUGCACGAAAGCGUGGGGAGCAAACAGG